This is a long non-coding RNA of Meriones unguiculatus (Mongolian gerbil), 3623 nucleotides long. RefSeq lists it as uncharacterized. Lineage: Eukaryota; Metazoa; Chordata; Mammalia; Rodentia; Muridae. The record is from RefSeq and is a predicted model, not a curated record. The transcript has 5 exons.
UGCAGAUACUCUACCUUUCAGAUUGACAUCUAGCAUGGUCUGUCUGGGAAUGACCCCUGAGACAUCAAUGACAGCAGCGGUGUGGAUGACCACAGAGAUGCCCUGGCAGGCUCUCUUCAGGUGUUGACUACCUAUGUCAUCAAGAAUUGUCCAGGAAGACACACAUGGAAAGCAAAUCAGCUUAGGAAGCUGUCAAAUGUGCCUGGGAUAUGAACUUGUUCAAGAGAGUGCUGGGAAGUUCAUCCAUCCACAAAGUGACUCAGGAGGUGGUUGGAUUCACAUCACUUUUAGGUUUCUAUGAAGAGAGAUGUCACACUGCUUAAACAGAUUCUUUGACAAUUGGACAGAUCAUCUCCUGACAGCGCCCUGACUACCUCAAAGAAGAUGAUGAGCAUCGAAGAAGCUCCAUAUGGAGAUGGCUUCAAAUAUGGCAAACCAGCCCCCUAGGCAAAAAAAAAUGCCCUCACUUCACAACAAACAGAAUUCUGCCCUAAAUCGGCAGACUCAAAUGCAGGCCAAGGUGACUGCUGAACUCUGCCAAGACAGGGUAAGCAAGUCCUAAAUGGUCUUUGCUUCACAUAUAUAUUUGUCAAAGAUACUGGGCCAGAAGGCUGAAGAUGAUGCUCCACCAUUAUAGAGAGUUUUGGGUGGUUGUUCAGGUAUCAAACUGUCUCUGUCAAUUUCUAUUUUUAGAGGCUACUAACACACAUAUCCUGUUUAUUUAGGGUAUAAAUUUUAUUCCUUCUUAAGUCUCUGAUAGUGUUGAGAACCAGAUGGUCUUUGUUUUACAAUUAGCUUAGUUGCUUACAAAUUAAAAAGAUGUUUUAGGUCUAGAUAGAUGUUUUUAUGUUGAUAGACACAAACUCUAAAAAUAACUGAAGCACAAACCUUAGACCCUCAUAGAUAAGAUAUUUUUCUCAAGGUUGCCAAAUGCAUUUAACUUAGAUAUUAUACAUAAUAGUCUUACCUAUUUUAAAAAUGUUUCCUAAUUUUUUUCUAGUAAAAAUGAUGCCUUUUUAUUUAGACAGAAAAAGGGGAAUUGUUGGAGGUUGGUCUGAGGUGUGUUACUGGCCCUCAAGUUCUGGGUACACCUAUCCUUGUUGUAUAAACCUACCUGAUUGGCUGCUUAAACAGCCUAUACCUUGGCAUGACAGAAUGGGGUAGGCAUGGCUAAGGUUCCCAUGCUUUGGAGCACAGGAGAUUCACGGGAAACAAAUGGACAGGAAAAGAAGAGGAAGGAGGACACUGUGAUGGAUUAGCAUGGAGAAGGAACCACAUGGGUUGGGAGAAAGGACUCUAAUAAAGGCAUGAAAGGGCCCAGAUGAAGAAUAAAUGCAUGUAUUUAUAAGAUUACAGAUAGAAGAUAUUUCAGAUGAGGAUGAUUAAGGAGAAGGGCAUUGGAUGGGAGCUGGGAGGUGGAUGGUGAGGUUAUUGAGACUGUGUAGGUGAAAUAUCUUCCUGCCCCAAUGUAAAUAACGCAAUUAUGAAAUCUAACAAGUAUCGUAUCAUUUGUGUUAAUAAAGUUAAAUAAUACUGCCACAAAAAUUAUGGGCUACUACUAAUAAUAGAAAACAUUACAUAUCCCAACACUUAGUUUUUUAUUUAGUACAACGAAGGUGCCAAAACAUCGAGCACCUGUAGAGGACACUUACAGGUGGAAUCAGCUGGAGACCAUGUGUGCUACAAGUAGCAAAGCCAUCUGCAUAGCAUUGCCCAACCCUGUUGCAACAUACUGGAUAUGGAGGGCAAAAGUCUAUCUUUACAUGUAUUGUCUACUUUCAUUCUUGCCUUUUGCAAGUCAUGCAACUCAUUUUGGACCCGAUUUAGAUAUGAGCACAGGUUUUUGGUACAAGGUUCUCAGGUAUUCUUCUAGAGUCUAGAGAGACUUGUGGGAGGAACAAUAAGUUAGUGAACAAGUACAGUCAUCAGGAAGUGUGAGCCCCUCAGCCUGUAUUUAACUUUCUCCAGCAGGCUGGAGAGUCCUUGGGAAAGGUAGCCUGAAGCAAGAGGACAUGUCUGAGGAGCUGUAUGAGACAAAGUGAGGUGUGCUGCAGAAGGGCUAGUCCUGGAGGAGCCUUGAUGUAGAUGGAGUGUUUUCAAGUGAUGGUAAAGGAUGGUUUUCUCCCUCACUGCUUCCCUUCUUCUCUCCCUCCCUACAUAUGGUCCUCUCUCCCUCUUUCUCUUUUGACCAUAGACUUCUAGUGGCUUUCUGUUUUUUGAUUCUCUUCAGGUUUUUACAACUGUCUCUUGUGUGUUUUGAAUUUAUAAAUUUUUUAACAUUAAUCACUUCAUUACACUGUAUUCACUUUGUAUCCCAGCUGUAGCCCCCUCCAUUAUCUCCUCCAUGUCCCACCCAACCCUCCCUCUUCUCCCCCUAUACCCCUACUUUUACAACUGGCUCAUGUUAAUCAGUUCUUGAAAUUCCCUUGUAUAUUUAUAGUCAAAGCAUUCUGUCUCUUGUGCACCCUUUCCUCUUGUAACAGCUAUUUGAUAACAUUUGUUUUUGCUGGACACCGUUUUUCUGUUCAGUUACUCAGAUUUGAUUGCCUUGUCAGACACUGUUGACAUAGCAGUGAUGUACGACAUAUCUUCUCAAUACAAAAAGAGGAAAAUGACACUCAGCAUAUUUGUUAGGUUAUAGCAGUUAGUUAUAGAGAAGUCAUGGAUGAUUUGUAGUGAGAAAUAUUGUAUAGUGAGGGAAUAAGUAGUUCAGAAGAAUGUGUGAGCAGAAGACACAUCUUUUGAGAGGUCCAAAAGGUGAAAUUUAAUUGCUGGGGUAACAUGUCUGUGGUCCUGGGUACAAGUUUAGACAAAGAAGCAGACAAGUUAGGAUAGACCCUUGUGCCCAGCCUUGAGGCCCUUGAAAGGCAUCAUUGCUUGGAAACCUUAAGGAUGGCCAGCAGUCUCCCACACAGCUAGCCCCUAGCUGGUGAUCAAGGUCACAUAGUCCUGCUACUAGGAAAAAAAAAUAACCAAGAUGUGCUAAUCAUGUCCCCUCUCUAACAGGAACAGAGAUGGGCCAGGACCAUUAUAGCCUUGGUGCCUAAAAUAAACAAAGGCUUGAAAGUUCCAGGCUUGUUGUAUUGCCCUUUAAAAACCCUGUUCCUCCAGACCUCAGAGCCACAUAUCUCUCUUUUUCCACAGAGAUCUUGCACCAGAGCUUGAGCUUGUAUUAAACCCUAAUGUGUUCACAGUGGAGUUGAUUCCUGGUGGUCUUUGGGGGUCUUGUGAACUGGGCAUGAGAAAUGAGACCAUCCUAGACUAGAAAGCAAAACAAUUAAACCUUGAAUAAGGUCCAGAUUAGAAAGAAAAACAACUGGGGCUACAGAACCUUGAAUAGAGAUCAGACCUGAUGUCCCUCCCUAGAGGGCAGAAUGAGCUUAUUUUGAGAACUAGGGAACCUGGGGCAGGGUGGACAGCUCUUGGAAGAAACCACAAGCUGCCAGUGGGAAAACUGUUUUUUAUGUUAUCUUUUUGCUGACCCUUCAAUGUAAAGAAACAUGUGUGAUCUGGUUUUUAGGUAUAAAAGCUCUGUGCUUUGUAUGCUCGGGGUUGUCUCCCACCUUGAAGGGGCGACUCCAUCGCAAUCAGAAUAAACUUAUGCCUCUUGCUUUUGCAUUGAA